GACGAACGCUGGCGGCGUGCUUAACACAUGCAAGUCGAACGGAAAGGCCCUGCUUUUGUGGGGUGCUCGAGUGGCGAACGGGUGAGUAACACGUGAGUAACCUGCCCUUGACUUUGGGAUAACUUCAGGAAACUGGGGCUAAUACCGGAUAGGAGCUCCUGCUGCAUGGUGGGGGUUGGAAAGUUUCGGCGGUUGGGGAUGGACUCGCGGCUUAUCAGCUUGUUGGUGGGGUAGUGGCUUACCAAGGCUUUGACGGGUAGCCGGCCUGAGAGGGUGACCGGCCACAUUGGGACUGAGAUACGGCCCAGACUCCUACGGGAGGCAGCAGUGGGGAAUAUUGCACAAUGGGCGGAAGCCUGAUGCAGCAACGCCGCGUGCGGGAUGACGGCCUUCGGGUUGUAAACCGCUUUCGCCUGUGACGAAGCGUGAGUGACGGUAAUGGGUAAAGAAGCACCGGCUAACUACGUGCCAGCAGCCGCGGUGAUACGUAGGGUGCGAGCGUUGUCCGGAUUUAUUGGGCGUAAAGGGCUCGUAGGUGGUUGAUCGCGUCGGAAGUGUAAUCUUGGGGCUUAACCCUGAGCGUGCUUUCGAUACGGGUUGACUUGAGGAAGGUAGGGGAGAAUGGAAUUCCUGGUGGAGCGGUGGAAUGCGCAGAUAUCAGGAGGAACACCAGUGGCGAAGGCGGUUCUCUGGGCCUUUCCUGGCGCUGAGGAGCGAAAGCGUGGGGAGCGAACAGGCUUAGAUACCCUGGUAGUCCACGCUGUAAACGGUGGGUACUAGGUGUGGGGUCCAUUCCACGGGUUCCGUGCCGUAGCUAACGCUUUAAGUACCCCGCCUGGGGAGUACGGCCGCAAGGCUAAAACUCAAAGGAAUUGACGGGGCCCCGCACGAGCGGCGGAGCAUGCGGAUUAAUUCGAUGCAACGCGUAGAACCUUACCUGGGUUUGACAUGGAUCGGGAGUGCUCAGAGAUGGGUGUGCCUCUUUUGGGGUCGGUUCACAGGUGGUGCAUGCCUGUCGUCAGCUCGUGUCGUGAGAUGUUGGGUUAAGUCCCGCAACGAGCGCAACCCUUGUUCACUGUUGCCAGCACGUUAUGGUGGGGACUCAGUGGAGACCGCCGGGGUCAACUCGGAGGAAGGUGGGGAUGACGUCAAGUCAUCAUGCCCCUUAUGUCCAGGGCUUCACGCAUGCUACAAUGGCUGGUACAGAGAGUGGCGAGCCUGUGAGGGUGAGCGAAUCUCGGAAAGCCAGUCUCAGUUCGGAUUGGGGUCUGCAACUCGACCUCAUGAAGUCGGAGUCGCUAGUAAUCGCAGAUCAGCAACGCUGCGGUGAAUAAGAUCCCGGG
RNAcentral lists this ribosomal RNA (1343 nucleotides) under uncultured bacterium. RNAcentral describes it as "16S ribosomal RNA". It matches the Rfam family "Bacterial small subunit ribosomal RNA", at positions 28 to 1378 of the family's 1533-position model. The record is from RNAcentral.